GAUGAACGCUAGCUACAGGCUUAACACAUGCAAGUCGAGGGGAAACGCCAUCGAAAGCUUGCUUUUGAUGGGCGUCGACCGGCGCACGGGUGAGUAACGCGUAUCCAACCUGCCCAUCACUUGGGAAUAACCUUGCGAAAGUAAGACUAAUACCCAAUGAUAUCCCACGAAGGCAUCGGAAUGGGAUUAAAGAUUUAUCGGUGAUGGAUGGGGAUGCGUCUGAUUAGCUUGUUGGCGGGGUAACGGCCCACCAAGGCAACGAUCAGUAGGGGUUCUGAGAGGAAGGUCCCCACAUUGGAACUGAGACACGGUCCAAACUCCUACGGGAGGCAGCAGUGAGGAAUAUUGGUCAAUGGGCGAGAGCCUGAACCAGCCAAGUAGCGUGCAGGAAGACGGCCCUAUGGGUUGUAAGCUGCUUUUAGAAGGGAAUAAAGUGGGUCACGUGUGACUUUUUGCAUGUACCUUAUGAAUAAGGACCGGCUAAUUCCGUG
This 491-nucleotide ribosomal RNA is filed under the name uncultured bacterium. RNAcentral describes it as "partial 16S ribosomal RNA". It matches the Rfam family "Bacterial small subunit ribosomal RNA", at positions 28 to 507 of the family's 1533-position model. The record is from RNAcentral.